UGCAUAUCAAUAAGCGGAGGAAAAGAAACUAACUAGGAUUCCCCUAGUAACUGCGAGUGAAGCGGGAAAAGCUCAAAUUUAAAAUCUGGCAGUCUUUGGCUGUCCGAGUUGUAAUCUAGAGAAGUAUUAUCCGCGCUGGACCGUGUACAAGUCCCCUGGAAUGGGCGUCAUAGAGGGUGAGAAUCCCGUCUUUGACACGGACUGCCAGGGCUUUGUGAUGUGCUCUCAAAGAGUCGAGUUGUUUGGGAAUGCAGCUCAAAAUGGAUGGUAAAUUCCAUCUAAAGCUAGAUAUUGGCGAGAGACCGAUAGCGAACAAGUACCGUGAGGGAAAGAUGAAAAGAACUUUGGAAAGAGAGUUAAACAGUACGUGAAAUUGCUGAAAGGGAAACGCUUGAAGUCAGUCGCGUUGGCCAGGGAUCAACCUUGCUUUUUUGCUUGGCUUACUUUCUGGUCGAUGGGUCAGCAUCAAUUUUGACUGGUGGAAAAAGUUCAAGGGAAUGUGGCAUCUUCGGAUGUGUUAUAGCCUUUGUUCACAUACAUCAGUUGGGAUUGAGGAACUCAGCACGCCGCAAGGCCGGGUUUUUAACCACGUACGUGCUUAGGAUGCUGACGUAAUGGCUUUAAACGAC
RNAcentral lists this ribosomal RNA (629 nucleotides) under Laccaria sp. La18_18MI10. RNAcentral describes it as "eukaryotic LSU rRNA". It matches the Rfam family "Eukaryotic large subunit ribosomal RNA", at positions 37 to 648 of the family's 3401-position model. Lineage: Eukaryota; Fungi; Basidiomycota; Agaricomycetes; Agaricales; Hydnangiaceae. The record is from RNAcentral.